AACUUUCAGCAACGGAUCUCUUGGCUCUCGCAUCGAUGAAGAACGCAGCGAAAUGCGAUAAGUAAUGUGAGUUGCAGAAUUCAGUGAAUCAUCGAAUCUUUGAACGCACCUUGCACCCUUUGGCAUUCCGAAGGGUAUGCUCGUUUGAGUGUCAUUGUACUCUCACACUCCCGAUGCUUUUGGAUUGGGAGUGGUGGACUUGGGUGUUGCUGCUUUACUGUGGCUCACCUCAAAUGGAGUAGUGCAACUCUUGGUUGGACAUAGUACGGCGUGAUAAGUGUCUUCGCCGGCGCCUCAUUAGAGGGUGGCCGAUCGGGAGCUCUGUGCUUCAAACCGUCUUCGGACAACAUCUGACAACUUGACCUCAAAUCGAGUAGGACUACCCGCUGAACUUAAGCAUAUCAAUAAGCGGAGGCU
RNAcentral lists this unclassified non-coding RNA (417 nucleotides) under uncultured Sebacina. Its description in RNAcentral is "sequence contains ITS2". The stretch from base 1 to 154 matches the Rfam family "5.8S ribosomal RNA". The record is from RNAcentral. Lineage: Eukaryota; Fungi; Basidiomycota; Agaricomycetes; Sebacinales; Sebacinaceae.